CUUGUGACAUGAAAAAUCAAAAAAAAACUACAGUACCCUGUUGACUCCAUUAUCACUUAGAGUUUCAGUUACAGGGGCAGCUGAGGAUUGGAUAAAGUCAUGUUUGUUAGUUCAAGAAAUUCUUAUUCACACUAUAAUUUUCCAUCAAAAAAUGAACCUAAUUCAGAGCUCCCUCAGUGCCAAGUACUACAGAGACCAUGCUCCACAAAAUAAUCCAAGGGCCUGCUGGAGAGGACUGGAGGACCGUAGCCCAUGGACGAGAGACGCAGGACUGAGGUAG
RNAcentral lists this long non-coding RNA (280 nucleotides) under Fukomys damarensis (Damara mole-rat). RNAcentral's name for it is "lncRNA (ENSFDAG00000023483.1)". The record is from RNAcentral. Lineage: Eukaryota; Metazoa; Chordata; Mammalia; Rodentia; Bathyergidae.